Tympanuchus pallidicinctus (lesser prairie-chicken) is the source of this 689-nucleotide long non-coding RNA. RefSeq lists it as uncharacterized. NCBI's taxonomy places the organism in Eukaryota, Metazoa, Chordata, Aves, Galliformes, Phasianidae. The record is from RefSeq and is a predicted model, not a curated record. The transcript is spliced from 3 exons.
GUCACUUCACUCUCCCUAAGUUUCUUAAAACCAGAAAAUAUGGAUUUUUCAGGUGUUAAGUGAUGUCCAUUGAUACUCUCCUGAAUUAUUAACAAAUGGUAAAAAUGACCUGUAUGCAGCCUGUAUAGUUGCCCCUAUGUAGAUGCUGGGGGAUCUCUUAUGCUGUGACGUGAAUGUGCCCAGGAUUCAUUAUCUUACAAAUGGAAUAAAUGUCCACAGGUGAGGUGAUUUUUUUUCUCUACAGACUCAUCAGGGUAGUCAGAAGUCAUUUAGAAAGGGGCUUUGCAGCUCAUUUCUGUAGUUUCUUUGUGUCCCUGCAUCACGGGGCAUACUGAAUCUGAACAUCACCUUAAAAUGUCAGGUGCUAGCCUUUUGAGCAGUCAUCCAGUGAGUCUUUACCGUUUAACGACAGCCUAAAUUUAAGCAUCUUUUUCACAGAGACCUUGUUUGUUAGGACCACGGGAGGCAGGAGAGCCCAUGGAACAAAUUGAUCAGAUCAACUCAGAAUUGAUGCUUCUUAGAUUUGGCAAUUGCAUCUUACACUGUGAUACUGCAGGUCAUUCAUGUGACAAGAGGACUAAUCACAUUGCUCCUGUGAAGGUAUCUCUUUCCAGUCUAGAGGAAAAUACUGUUCUGUGAACCAUAGUGUUCUGUGUUGUUACAAUUGAAGUGAAAGACAGCAGACCAUU